This is a long non-coding RNA of Anneissia japonica, 441 nucleotides long. RefSeq lists it as uncharacterized. The transcript has 2 exons. The record is from RefSeq and is a predicted model, not a curated record. NCBI's taxonomy places the organism in Eukaryota, Metazoa, Echinodermata, Crinoidea, Comatulida, Comatulidae.
AGCGAAUGAAGACAGCCCUACUUCUUCGCCUUGUGACGAGCCUUGUACAGCAGGUCAAACAUGUUUAAGAAGGGCUGAUGGAAGUUAUGCAUGUUUAUCAUUAAACGUCGGAAGAGGCACUUUCUACAGCUUUGGAGAUUUGAACGGCUAACAUUUACCGUACUACAUGAAACAAAUACUUUCAGUAAAAGAAAUAAUGGAAUAGAAGAAGCAUUUUAUAAACAAUAACAAUAAAGUAAACCUAUUUUGCACUGGCUAUUGUUACACCAGUCUUAAACGAAUUCCUAACUGCGAUUGUGAGUAGGAAUCCGUUUAAGACUGGUGUAACUAUAUAGCCGCUGCCAACUUAUUUAGCUUCCCCCAACUAUUAUACUAUUUGUAAGUGAUUGUGUGGAAAAACAAUGAAAAUUAAACUUAAAACCCUGUGAGCUUGUACCACUG